RNAcentral lists this ribosomal RNA (767 nucleotides) under uncultured fungus. RNAcentral describes it as "eukaryotic LSU rRNA". The stretch from base 136 to 767 matches the Rfam family "Eukaryotic large subunit ribosomal RNA", at positions 1 to 649 of the family's 3401-position model. Lineage: Eukaryota; Fungi. The record is from RNAcentral.
GGUGNUGGAUGUUUGUUCNGNCUCUGCGUGUGAACUCGUCUCAAAUUGAUUGGCAGUUGGUAGAUUUGGCUUCGUGUGCAGCACAUUGCACAGCGGCUCCAGGCUACUUCCUUUCCACUAAGCUCANCCAUUGUUUGACCUCGGAUCAGGUAGGGAUACCCGCUGAACUUAAGCAUAUCAAUAAGCGGAGGAAAAGAAACCAACAGGGAUUGCCUCAGUAACGGCGAGUGAAGCGGCAAUAGCUCAAAUUUGAAAUCUGGCUCUUUCAGGGUCCGAGUUGUAAUUUGCAGAGGGCGCUUUGGCGUCGGCAGCGGCCUAAGUUCCUUGGAACAGGUCAUCAUAGAGGGUGAGAAUCCCGUAUGUGGCUGCUUGUCUUCGCCGUGUAAAGCCCCUUCGACGAGUCGAGUUGUUUGGGAAUGCAGCUCUAAAUGGGAGGUAAAUUUCUUCUAAAGCUAAAUAUUGGCCAGAGACCGAUAGCGCACAAGUAGAGUGAUCGAAAGAUGAAAAGCACUUUGGAAAGAGAGUCAAAAAGCACGUGAAAUUGUUGAAAGGGAAGCGCUUGCAGCCAGACAUGCCUGUAGUUGCUCAUCUGGGGAUCUCCCCAGUGCACUCUUCUGUAGGCAGGCCAGCAUCAGUCCGGGCGGUUGGAGAAAGACCUGUGUCACGUAGCUGCUUUCGGGCAGUGUUAUAGGGCAGGUGGAAUACGACCAGCCUGGACUGAGGUCCGCGCAUCUGCUAGGAUGCUGGCGUAAUGGCUGUAAGCGGCC